Molecule: long non-coding RNA, 1225 nt
Organism: Anthonomus grandis grandis
Lineage: Eukaryota; Metazoa; Arthropoda; Insecta; Coleoptera; Curculionidae
Exons: 3
Source: RefSeq, a predicted model, not a curated record
UUUCAUAUAUCUUUUAUUUUUAUCUUUAAUUUAAAUUUUUACUCAUUACAUUUUUACCUCACCCAUGUUAUGCGUAGGCUCAGCAGGGAGGAACGGUUUUUAAUAAUCGAGUCCUAUUUGUCAACAAAGUCAACAAAGUCAUAUGCCACCUCAAAAGCAACAUGGCCGCACAGAAGCAGGUGUCUGUUAAACGUAAUCUGUGUAAAAACGAAGCUUCUAGUGCUAAUUCGCAAAGUGAUUUCGAUUCAGAUGAUAGUGUAAGGGACCGAAAUUAUAAUCCCGAUGAUAGCAGCUCCGAUUCUUUUACGGACGACGAUUUAUCGUCCCAUUCCCAAAAUAAUGAAUCGGAUGUAUCAAGAGGCGUCCUAGAAACACCCGAUAAAGCUACUCCAAAGAAGAAAAAAGGAAAAAGUCAAAACCAAGCGUAACCUGGGACACUGCUAUGAGAGCAGUAGAGGAAAGAAAGUUGACAAUAGAAUGAUUGGUCCUCCCUGUAAAUAUCAGAAGAAGUGCAGAGAAAAGAUGGUUGGAAAGGAAAACCAAAUUUUUAACGAUUUUUGGAAUUUGGGUUCUUAUAAAGGAAAAACACUUAUUUAUUUGGAUGUAUUAAAGCUGUGCCGAAAAAACGCUCAUAUAGAAAAAAAAAACAAAAAGGCAAGAAUCCUCCAGAAAAAUUAAUUAUCAAUAUUUUAUAAAAUGAAAUGGGUUAGAUCUACAACUCUGUAAGGAAGAGUUUUUAUCAGUGCAUAGAUUACAAAACUCCUCUACAAGGGUACGACUUAUUUGCAAACAUAUUGCAGAGGGAAGAAGUGUUCCCAAAAAUGACGAACGUGGGAAGAACCACAACAGACCCAAUAGGAUUCCAUAUGAGCAAGUACAAUCUGCUCAUGACCACAUCAAAGCUUUUCCAAAGUAUGUUAGCCACUACAGCAGGAAAAAGAAUCCCAACAGAGUAUAUUUAGAUCACGACAUUUCCAUCUCAUCUCUGUGCAAAGAUUUUUACAUUGACUGGAGUCAAGAUAAAAACAUUACACCAGUAAAAGAAGAUAUGUAUCGAAGCAUAUUCUAUAAUAAAUACAAUAUAGGAUUUAAACUGCCAAAAAGCGAUACUUGUCACACAUGUGACUCUCUAAAUAUUUCGAUUAAGUCCAAAAAUCUCAUCCAUUCUUCUCUAAGAGACCAACAUACAAAAUUGACGAAAAACAAAUAAAAACACAAAGUCACG